AGAGUUUGAUCCUGGCUCAGGACCAACGCUGGCGGCGUGCUUAAACAUGCGUGCGAGCGGUAGGGCCCUUCGGGGUACACAAACGGCGAACGGGUGAGUAACACGUGAGCAACCUACCCUCAACUUCGGGAUAAGCCUCGGAAACGGGGUCUAAUACCGGAUAUCCCUUCUGCCUUCAUGGGUGGGGGUUGAAAGUUCUGGCGGUUGGGGAUGGGCUCGCGGCCUAUCAGCUUGUUGGUGGGGUAAUGGCCUACCAAGGCGUCGACGGGUAGCCGGCCUGAGAGGGCGACCGGCCACACUGGGACUGAGACACGGCCCAGACUCCUACGGGAGGCAGCAGUGGGGAAUAUUGCGCAAUGGACGAAAGUCUGACGCAGCAACGCCGCGUGAGGGAUGACGGCCUUCGGGUUGUAAACCUCUUUCAGCAGGGACGAAGCGAGAGUGACGGUACCUGCAGAAGAAGGACCGGCCAACUACGUGCCAGCAGCCGCGGUAAUACGUAGGGUCCGAGCGUUGUCCGGAAUUAUUGGGCGUAAAGGGCUCGUAGGCGGUUCGUCACGUCGGGAGUGAAAACUCGGAGCUCAACUCCGAGCCUGCUUCCGAUACGGGCAGACUAGAGGUAGGCAGGGGAGAGCGGAACUCCUGGUGUAGCGGUGGAAUGCGCAGAUAUCAGGAAGAACACCGGUGGCGAAGGCGGCUCUCUGGGCCUUACCUGACGCUGAGGAGCGAAAGCGUGGGUAGCGAACAGGAUUAGWUACCMUGGUAGUCCACGCMGUAAACGUUGGGCGCUAGGUGUGGGGRACAUUCCACGUCCUCCGUGCCGCAGCUAACGCAUUAAGCGCCCCGCCUGGGGAGUACGGCCGCAAGGCUAAAACUCAAAGGAAUUGACGG
RNAcentral lists this ribosomal RNA (891 nucleotides) under uncultured bacterium. Its description in RNAcentral is "bacterial SSU rRNA". It matches the Rfam family "Bacterial small subunit ribosomal RNA", at positions 8 to 916 of the family's 1533-position model. The record is from RNAcentral.